UGUUGCCGGGUCUAAGUCAUUUCCAG
Molecule: unclassified non-coding RNA, 26 nt
Filed under: Mus musculus (house mouse)
Lineage: Eukaryota; Metazoa; Chordata; Mammalia; Rodentia; Muridae
Description: oocyte_clustered_small_RNA10591
Source: RNAcentral